This 542-nucleotide ribosomal RNA is filed under the name uncultured bacterium. Its description in RNAcentral is "partial 16S ribosomal RNA". It matches the Rfam family "Bacterial small subunit ribosomal RNA", at positions 355 to 888 of the family's 1533-position model. The record is from RNAcentral.
UGGGGAAUUUUGGACAAUGGGCGAAAGCCUGAUCCAGCAAUGCCGCGUGUGUGAAGAAGGCCUUCGGGUUGUAAAGCACUUUUGUCCGGAAAGAAAUCCUUGGCUCUAAUACAGUCGGGGGAUGACGGUACCGGAAGAAUAAGCACCGGCUAACUACGUGCCAGCAGCCGCGGUAAUACGUAGGGUGCAAGCGUUAAUCGGAAUUACUGGGCGUAAAGCGUGCGCAGGCGGUUUGCUAAGACCGAUGUGAAAUCCCCGGGCUCAACCUGGGAACUGCAUUGGUGACUGGCAGGCUAGAGUAUGGCAGAGGGGGGUAGAAUUCCACGUGUAGCAGUGAAAUGCGUAGAGAUGUGGAGGAAUACCGAUGGCGAAGGCAGCCCCCUGGGCCAAUACUGACGCUCAUGCACGAAAAGCGUGGGGAGCAAACAGGAUUAGAUACCCUGGUAGUCCACGCCCUAAAACGAUGUCAACUAGUUGUUGGGGAUUCAUUUCCUUAGUAACGUAGCUAACGCGUGAAGUUGACCGCCUGGGGAGUACGGUCG